This 494-nucleotide ribosomal RNA is filed under the name uncultured bacterium. RNAcentral's name for it is "partial 16S ribosomal RNA". It matches the Rfam family "Bacterial small subunit ribosomal RNA", at positions 28 to 507 of the family's 1533-position model. The record is from RNAcentral.
GACGAACGCUGGCGGCGUGCUUAACACUUGCAAGUCGAACGGUGAAGCGCCUUCCUUUUUGGUGGGUGUGGAUGAGUGGCGAACGGGUGAGUAACACGUGAGUAACCUGCCCCCUUCUUCUGGAUAACCGCAUGAAAGUGUGGCUAAUACGGGAGAUUCUGGGUCUGUCGCAUGAUGGGUCUGGGAAAGAUCUUGUUUCGGUGGGGGAUGGGCUCGCGGCCUAUCAGCUUGUUGGUGGGGUGAUGGCCUACCAAGGCGGUGACGGGUAGCCGGCCAGGGAGGGUGGGCGGUCCCACUGGGGCUGAACCGCGGCCACGCCUCCUACAGGAGGCAGCAGUGGGGAAUAUUGCACAGUGGGCACAAGCCUGAUGCAGCGACGCCGCGUGAGGGAUGGAGGCCUGCGGGUUGUGAACCUCUUUCGCCAGUGAAGCGGGCCUGCCUCGUUUGUGGGUGGGUUGACGGUAGCUGGAUAAGAAGCGCCGGCUAACUACGUG